AGAGUUUGAUCCUGGCUCAGGAUGAACGCUGGCGGCGUGCCUAACACAUGCAAGUCGAACGGAGUUGAUUUUCUUCGGAAUAUCAACUUAGUGGCGGACGGGUGAGUAACGCGUGAGCAAUCUGCCUUUCAGAGGGGGAUAACGACUGGAAACGGUCGCUAAUACCGCAUAACGUAUCGAUGUGGCAUCACAUAGAUACCAAAGGAGAAAUCCGCUGAGAGAUGAGCUCGCGUCUGAUUAGAUAGUUGGCGGGGUAACGGCCCACCAAGUCGACGAUCAGUAGCCGGACUGAGAGGUUGAACGGCCACAUUGGGACUGAGACACGGCCCAGACUCCUACGGGAGGCAGCAGUGGGGAAUAUUGCGCAAUGGGGGGAACCCUGACGCAGCAACGCCGCGUGAUUGAAGAAGGUCUUCGGAUUGUAAAAAUCUUUUAUCAGAGACGAAGAAGUGACGGUAUCUGAUGAAUAAGCUCCGGCUAACUACGUGCCAGCAGCCGCGGUAAUACGUAGGGAGCGAGCGUUAUCCGGAUUUACUGGGUGUAAAGGGCGAGUAGGCGGAUUGGCAAGUCAGAUGUGAAAUACCGGGGCUCAACCCCGGAACUGCAUUUGAAACUGUUGACCUUGAGUGAUGGAGAGGCAGGCGGAAUUCCCAGUGUAGCGGUGAAAUGCGUAGAUAUUGGGAGGAACACCAGUGGCGAAGGCGGCCUGCUGGACAUUAACUGACGCUGAGGAGCGAAAGCGUGGGGGAGCAAACAGGAUUAGAUACCCUGGUAGUCCACGCCGUAAACGAUGGAUACUA
RNAcentral lists this ribosomal RNA (800 nucleotides) under uncultured bacterium. RNAcentral's name for it is "bacterial SSU rRNA". It matches the Rfam family "Bacterial small subunit ribosomal RNA", at positions 8 to 818 of the family's 1533-position model. The record is from RNAcentral.